Molecule: ribosomal RNA, 97 nt
Filed under: Neotoma lepida (desert woodrat)
Lineage: Eukaryota; Metazoa; Chordata; Mammalia; Rodentia; Cricetidae
Source: RNAcentral
GUCUAUGGCUAUACCACCCUGAAUGCACCUGAUCUCAGGAGCUAAGCAGGGUGGGGCCUGGUUGGUAUUUGGAUGGGACACGUGUCCUCCAUAGUCU